UACGAAGGGUGCUAGCGUUGCUCGGAAUUACUGGGCGUAAAGGGCGCGUAGGCGGACAUUUAAGUCAGAGGUGAACGCCCAGGGCUCAACCUUGGAAUUGCCUUUGAUACUGGAUGUCUUGAGUUCGGGAGAGGUGAGUGGAAUGCCGAGUGUAGAGGUGAAAGGCGUAGAGAUUCGGCGGAACACCAGUGGCGAAGGCGACUCACUGGCCCGAUACUGACGCUGAGGCGCGAAAGCGUGGGGAGCAAACAGG
This 253-nucleotide ribosomal RNA is filed under the name uncultured bacterium. Its description in RNAcentral is "partial 16S ribosomal RNA". It matches the Rfam family "Bacterial small subunit ribosomal RNA", at positions 524 to 776 of the family's 1533-position model. The record is from RNAcentral.